RNAcentral lists this ribosomal RNA (253 nucleotides) under uncultured bacterium. Its description in RNAcentral is "partial 16S ribosomal RNA". It matches the Rfam family "Bacterial small subunit ribosomal RNA", at positions 524 to 776 of the family's 1533-position model. The record is from RNAcentral.
UACGGAGGGUGCAAGCGUUGCUCGGAAUUAUUGGGCGUAAAGGGUAGGUAGGUGGUCUUAUUUGUCUGGGGUGAAAGCCUUGAGCUUAACUCAAGAAGUGCCCCAGAAACGGUAAGACUAGAGUCCUGGAGAGGGUCGUGGAAUUCCCGGUGUAGCGGUGAAAUGCGUAGAGAUCGGAAGGAACGUCGAUGGCGAAGGCAGCCACCUGGCAUAAUACUGACGCUGAGGCGCGAAAGCGUGGGGAGCGAACAGG